This is a long non-coding RNA of Eptesicus fuscus (big brown bat), 384 nucleotides long. RefSeq lists it as uncharacterized. The record is from RefSeq and is a predicted model, not a curated record. NCBI's taxonomy places the organism in Eukaryota, Metazoa, Chordata, Mammalia, Chiroptera, Vespertilionidae. The transcript has 3 exons.
AUUUGGAUAUGCCACAGAGAAGCCACAAAGUGCUUCCUUUAAAUGAGAAGGUGAAUUGCUCUCGACUCAAGAAGAAAAGAAAAAGAAUCAUAUGCUGAGGUUGCUAAUAUCUAUGAAAAUCUGGAAGGCUAUACUCCAAAGUGUUAGCACUGAUGAAAUACUCAGGGCCACGAAAGUGCAGUGGCCCAGCUUGUGAAAGACACAAGGACAUCGCUUGGGAGAACAAGCAGUGGCUGACAUCUUGCCCAGGACUGAGCCUCCAGGGAAGGCCCAUCCUUUCCUGGCUCCAUAUAGACUGGCAUCAGCCCCAGAGGUGAUGGAGGCCCGGUGCAUGAAAUUCGACCCAGCCUGCACCCUCUUCAAUCCGGGACCCCUCGGGGGAUA